AUGCACGCAGAGAGAUUCUCAUAGACGAAUAUAUUUUAGUUCAAUAUUUCUCCUGUUAUACGAGUAGGCGAUAAAUCAUCGAUAUUUAACGAGCUUUCGUUUUGUGUACCAGAAUCCAGGGUUUAUUUCAUUUCUUCCUGUUGUCCAGUGUCGAGAUUUAUCUUGUACUUUAUCCACUAUAAUGAUGAAUGAAUUGAGUUAUUUUUGUGAAAUAUGUGCCAAGGUUUUCACUGGUCCUGUCCCAUACAAACAACAUUUGCAGAGUGAGAAGCAUGGUAAGAAACUCGAAAUGGUUCCUGACAGGCAAGCUUUAGUCAAAGAAGCUGCGUCGAAUGACUCACUAUUUCUCAAAACUGAAACUAAAAACGUCGAUCUUUCACAGUCCGAAAAAUGUCUUUGUGCUUUUCACACAAGUCAGAAUGACGAAAAAGAAUUAAAGGAGAAAUGUGUUGAGGUAAUUGCACAACUUUCCAAAACUGAAGGCUCUCCAAGCUCGUCUGCUCUAUCUCCUGAAGUCAUUGAAGAUUCUAAAAGCAAAGAAAAGGUUCUUGACAAAAAUAUUCAAUUGAGGCUAGAAGAUUUCAUCACUAAAGAAUUUCGAAACUGCUCUUUCGUUUGUAAGUACUGUUCAGUAAACUUCACGGGUCCAGAAUGCGCUAAACAGCAUUUCAAAAGUCCUAAACAUUUGAAAAGAAUACAAAUGCUAGCUUUUGCUGAAAAGUUUAAGAAAGCAUUUGCAACAGAUUCUAUUGAAGAAUCUGACAAUGAAGUCAGCGAGAGGAGGUCUGAUGUUGAAACAAAAGAAAAAACCCUCGAGUUGAUAGAACAGCCUGAAGGGGAUGAAAAUAACUCAGAGACACGAAAUGAAAUACCGAAAACAAUAAUAUCUCAAUCAAUAAAAGUGAAUGAUCUCAACCGUUGUACGAACGUAGAAAGUUCAACCUCAGAUUGUUUCGAAAAACAAAUCAAUAAAGUCAGUGUUCAUAGAUGCACCGGCAAAUAUUCUGGAGAUAUUAGAGCUGAGCUUAAAUGUGAAAUCUGUAACAUUUCAAGCUUCUGUGACAUCAAGGAGGCAUUCAGACAUUAUGAAAGUGAAGAGCAUGUAUCCAAAAAAAGAGCCUCCAUGCAUUAAGAAUUGUGUCUAAUGAAUGAUAAUUUAACGAGCAGCCACCUUCCCAUAUUUAGCUGCAGAUAGCGAAAGGCAAUGCAUAUGUGGAAUAGAGAACCCACUUCUUCUGGUAUCUCAAAACCCAUCAAACUUUGAAGAUGCUCUUAGGGCACCUUAGGGAGUGGCAUUGAGAGUCGACUUUUGGAUCUUUCUCUCCUACGGCACUUCCCGGGAACCCACAUAUCACAUGUUUUCGUUGAAUCAUGUCUCGAAGAUUCACCAAGAUUUGAUCACUUAACCAAUACCAGUCAUGACCACACCAAGCAUUGUCCAUUCAAUUUUCAUACGAGUUAACACACUUGAACAACGACACUGUCGACAACUAUAAGGAGCCAAACAACCUUAACAUGUCAAGGACUCAACUCUCUCCAAUCACUCAACCUUGGCAGACUACCAAGAGUAACCUCCUAAGGAUAUUGGCCACCUGGAGCCACUCAAUCUGGAUAAAACUGGACAAUAAUUUGUAAAAAUAGUAUUGCGUUUAAAAUCACUUUAGUAUAGAAUAUGUUUUGGAUAAUCAGUGACUGGGUUAGACUGAUUAACCAGCUUUAGAAGACCUAUGAUAAGGUAGUCCUUUUCAAUUGAUUGUGUUUUUUGUUGUUGUUGUUUUUCAAAUAUUAUCGAGUUAUUUGGCAAGUUUUAUAUCCCGUGAAACCUAACACGAACGAUUCUAAUUUCUAGCAUUCAAUAAUUAACCAGGAACUGUGACCGUGUUUCCUGUUUUUUAUAAAAAGGAAGUAGAUUUUUUUAAUCAUUAGCCCUUUCCGGAAGGGAGGGAAGUCCACAUGUCGCUAACAUCCGUAAAUUAUUUUUACUUCUCGAGGUGGAAAUACUUAACUGAAUUGCGUAAAACCUAGAACAAACUUAGUAAGCAGUAUUUAGUUUGGGCUUCAGUAAAGAAAUCAUAUGAUUUGUUUUGGUUAUCUUGUUAUUUUGUAUGAAAAACAUUAAAAUUAUUUCCUUUCGUUUUAUAAUUUCAUAUUUUUAAUGUUAAUCACAAAGUUCCAUUUUAUUUCCAAUUAGUUUCAAGGUUAUUGGUAUUCCUUAAUAUGUAUCCUUUGAUACGUUAAUUUGUUGAUUUGAUUAGUCACCAUUUUCGGCUUAAAUCGUAAAACACUGUAAAAACUGACAAAAACUGAUGGUGUUGUUGUUUACAAACACAACGCAUCGGACCUAGCACGGCCAAGUGGUUAGGGAGCUUGACUCACAAUCUGAGGGUCGCGGGUUCGAAUCCCCGUUCCACCAAACAUGCUCGCCAUUUCAGCCGUGGGGGGGGGGGGGUUAUAACGUGACGGUCAAUCGCAUUAUUCGUUGGUAAAAGAGUAGCCCAAGAGUUGGCGGUGGGUGGUGAUGACAAGCUGCCUUCCCUCUAGUCUUACACUGCUAAAUUAAGGACGGCUAACGCAGAUAGCCCUCGUGUAGCUUUGCGCGAAGUUCAAACAAACAAACACAACGCAUCGAGCCCCGAAUUUUAAUGUUGUAAGUUCGUAAACUUACUGUUCAUCAUCUGACUUUUGGAAAUAGAGUCAAUUUCCAAGAUCUGCAAUUUGUUCUUAAGCCUGUACAGUUUUGACGUAGUUUUCAUGUAUACAAUAGUACCAAAAUAUAUAAUAAUAAACCUAGCUCUAGAAAUAUCAAAAACUUCUGACAAAUUUUAUUACAAUCCGAGAUUAGAAAUUUUGAAAGAUUUGUUCAACUUUGCACUGAAAAUAUGUUUCAUCUGUCAUAAACACACAAACGGAUUAUACAUGGGCAACCCUCUGUCAUCUGGAUUAAGCGAAAUGUUUCUCAACAAAAUAGAAAGACAAGCUAUUAACACAGGUCUACACCCUACCACGCACUGGUUUAGGUAAGUUGACGAUGUAUUUUGUAGAUUUGAAGACAACCACCACCAACAGUCAUUUCUACAACACGUAAACAACAUUCACUAACACCAAAUUCACUCAAUGCGAGAAUGAAAACCAGGUUUUGAAUUACAUGAACGUAACAGAAAUAAACUUCAACGGUUUUAAACACGAAUACCUUCCCUCCUCAAGUGUGGUAAUGAUAAUUAUAUAAUGUGGUACUCAACCCACUGAACUUGAAAAAAAAAUCAGCACGUGAAUUAGAAUCAAUAUCCGAUAUAUUUAAUAACAAAUGUCACUUCCUUAAACAUACUGUCACUAGAACUUUAGCCAACUACAAAAACAAACACAAUAACAGAAAAGGAAGAAACAAUCUCCAUGAAGGAUAUAAAGAUACGCAAACUCAAACACACUAAAAAGUCUUACCAUUUCAUAUAUAUAUAUUUAUAUUUUUAUUUAUAUUAACUAAACAGUACAGUUGUCGAAGAAACGUUUAUUCUGACAACUUCAACGAUAGAAGAAACUAUAAAGUAUAAACGUGAUCGAUGCGGCAGCACUUAUGUAGGCGAAACAGAUCGCAAUAUAUACAUUUGGAACAAAGAACAUAAAAUCCCCCCCUCAAUCAUACAUUUACGAGCACAGCACAACAAAUAAACAUCCAAAUAACAUUAACAACCAUAAAAUAUUAUGCAAUGAGAACAACAUUAAUAGAAGAAAAUAAACACUAGCACUUCGUGAAUCAAACCCUAAUUUAAAAUCAAAACACCUGUGCCACCUAUGUUUUUUUUAAACUAGAACAAAAUGGUCGCGCAAUAUUUCACACAAUAGACGACAGUUACCUGAUGAUGGGCACACAAGUGGUAGAAACGUAAUAAAGUUAUACCAAAAAAAAAAAAAAUAAUCCACUCAAAAACUGUACCUAUGGAUUGUUAUUUAAAUUACACAGUGGAUUUUCUCUCCUCACAACAAAUGUUUAAAUAUUAUUUUAAAUUGUCUCUGCACAAGUUCUAUUAAGCCAUUAUUUUUCUUUAGACGUUAAAACUGAAACUUCGUGUAUUAUUAUUCUGGAUAUCAUGUGACGAAAUUUGGUUAGUUAGUUAAAGAAAUACAUCACAGAAUAAUAUAAUUGUGAACAUAUCGACGUUUCUAAUUGAGAGAAAAGAAAUUGUAACUAGGCAACUUAAUUACAGGGUCAGUUCAUCAUAUUUGCGAUCCUCUUGCGAGUACCGAGCAAACCAUUUCGGCCAUUUUAACGACCCUCACCGCUUUUCGCCCGUGUACUACUCGUCUCACUCUAGUUAAAGAUCCAUAAUUCUUGUUCACCGAGGUUUGCAUAAUAAAUAUAGGUUAUUCGUGAAAUCGAAUAUGUUCAUAAUCAAAACAGAUACUGGAUAUAAUAAAUGGAGCAAAAUAAAGAAAGUUUUUAUUUCUUCUUUGUUUUGUUUUUCAAGAUGUACUACUUACAACUUCCUAGACUUUGAAUUAAUGAAAAAAAAUUUACUGGCUGG
This 4520-nucleotide unclassified non-coding RNA is filed under the name Limulus polyphemus (Atlantic horseshoe crab). Its description in RNAcentral is "uncharacterized LOC106461758, transcript variant X4". Lineage: Eukaryota; Metazoa; Arthropoda; Merostomata; Xiphosura; Limulidae. The record is from RNAcentral.